RNAcentral lists this ribosomal RNA (469 nucleotides) under Treponema denticola. RNAcentral's name for it is "bacterial SSU rRNA". It matches the Rfam family "Bacterial small subunit ribosomal RNA", at positions 40 to 499 of the family's 1533-position model. The record is from RNAcentral. Lineage: Bacteria; Pseudomonadati; Spirochaetota; Spirochaetia; Treponematales; Treponemataceae.
CGGGCGUCUUAACAUGCAAGUCGAACGGUAAGGGAGAGCUUGCUCUCCCCUAGAGUGGCGGACUGGUGAGUAACGCGUGGGUGACCUGCCCUGAAGAUGGGGAUAGCUAGUAGAAAUAUUAGAUAAUACCGAAUGUGCUCAUUUACAUAAAGGUAAAUGAGGAAAGGAGCUACGGCUCCGCUUCAGGAUGGGCCCGCGUCCCAUUAGCUGGUUGGUGAGGUAAAGGCCCACCAAGGCAACGAUGGGUAUCCGGCCUGAGAGGGUGAACGGACACAUUGGGACUGAGAUACGGCCCAAACUCCUACGGGAGGCAGCAGCUAAGAAUCUUCCGCAAUGGACGAAAGUCUGACGGAGCGACGCCGUGUGAAUGAAGAAGGCCGAAAGGUUGUAAAAUUCUUUUGCAGAUGAAGAAUAAGAAGAAGAGGGAAUGCUUCUUUGAUGACGGUAGUCAUGCGAAUAAGCCCGGCUA